GACGAACGCUGGCGGCGUGCUUAACACAUGCAAGUCGAACGGAAAGGCCCUGCUUUUGUGGGGUGCUCGAGUGGCGAACGGGUGAGUAACACGUGAGUAACCUGCCCUUGACUUUGGGAUAACUUCAGGAAACUGGGGCUAAUACCGGAUAGGAGCUCCUGCUGCAUGGUGGGGGUUGGAAAGUUUCGGCGGUUGGGGAUGGACUCGCGGCUUAUCAGCUUGUUGGUGGGGUAGUGGCUUACCAAGGCUUUGACGGGUAGCCGGCCUGAGAGGGUGACCGGCUACAUUGGGACUGAGAUACGGCCCAGACUCCUACGGGAGGCAGCAGUGGGGAAUAUUGCACAAUGAGCGGAAGCCUGAUGCAGCAACGCCGCGUGCGGGAUGACGGCCUUCGGGUUGUAAACCGCUUUCGCCUGUGACGAAGCGUGAGUGACGGUAAUGGGUAAAGAAGCACCGGCUAACUACGUG
Molecule: ribosomal RNA, 468 nt
Filed under: uncultured bacterium
Lineage: Bacteria
Description: partial 16S ribosomal RNA
Rfam family: Bacterial small subunit ribosomal RNA
Source: RNAcentral